This is a non-coding RNA of Cricetulus griseus (Chinese hamster), 1232 nucleotides long. The record is from RefSeq and is a predicted model, not a curated record. Lineage: Eukaryota; Metazoa; Chordata; Mammalia; Rodentia; Cricetidae.
GCUGCGCUCAAUCCGGGCCUGGUAGCCCGGCGCUGCCAGCUCUCAAUGAGCCGCUCGCCCGCUCUAUUGUUGCUCCUCAGGGCUCCAUUAGACAGAAUUGGACAACAAUGUGGCGUCUGCCAUUGGCCAGGGGAGGCAGUCGGCGCUCUGAUUGGCCGGGCCCGCGCCCGGGGAGCCCCUCAUUCUACAGUGUCCGAAAGAUUCGAAACUCGGAACGCUCCGCUGAGUGCCUGCGGAAAGGGAGGGGGCGCCAGGGAAGGAGUGCGCAAGGAGGAGCGUUGCAAAUGUCGUGACAAGAAGUUUCCGUGCGCCCGAGAGCGUGUGAAUUGCUCCUAAUUACCGUGUCCGGUGCGCCUCUCCGCGUAGACGUGUGUAACCCCUCUACUUCUGGGGCGCCCGCUCCGCUGCGCCACUCUUGCCUUGGCCCGGGGCGCUUGGCAAGGCUGAGCUUCCCAAGUGGCCCUGGAGGCCUGGGGCGGGACAGGGGCAGGAAAGUAUAAAAGCAGCCUCUGCGCCUCCGCAAAUCCUCUAGGACGCUGGAUGCACGGGCCAGUCGGUCUGGCCACCAGGCCACAAGGCUGCCUCAGGGGGCGGGGGCCCUGCACCAGCUUUGACUUGGCCUUCACCGACCUGUGCUGACGUCACGGCCCCGAGACCCGUUCUGUCUACCGAGAAUGUAACAGAGUAAAGAAUAUUCGUUUAAAUGAAAAGCGGUGCCAUCUCCGCAUUUCUUCUCCGCUCCGUACCGUGCAUUUUCGCUCUGCUUUUUAGAAGCCCCUGGGCCGCAGGAGUCGGGUCUAUGCCAACGCAGAUGCACACACCUGUUAGGCACACGGAGCCUGCCUUGGUCCGCAGCCCCUUCCGACAGGCGGCCCCGCAGCUGGGGUGGAAGGAAGGCAAGAUCAGCAGGAUCCCAUAGCAGAACUACACGCCUGCCCAAGAAGCCAACGGAGGAUCCCACGUGAGGAGACCUGAGGGGGCGAUGAGCCUCAGAAUCUGGCAGACAACUUCCAAAAGUUCUCCAGGCCCUACUCAAGAGAGCUUGGAGCAGGAUAGUACAGAAUAGCAAUCUGGCUGCCAGCUACUGAGAAAGUUCCUUCCUUGGAGCCUGAGAAAAGAUUUGGAAGGGAGUUAAGAGUCUUCAGAUGCAGGUGGAGUGAGGGUGCCAUAAAGUUCUCCUGCGUUAGGCGCUCAGACCCCCCCCCACACACACACCUCUUAAAAUCCCCAGG